Molecule: ribosomal RNA, 155 nt
Filed under: Stereocaulon sp. Hur JP060018
Lineage: Eukaryota; Fungi; Ascomycota; Lecanoromycetes; Lecanorales; Stereocaulaceae
Description: 5.8S ribosomal RNA
Source: RNAcentral
GCACCCCUCAAGCUCCGGCUUGGUCUUGGGCCUUCGCCCCCCGGGCGGUCCCGAAAAGCAGUGGCGGUCCGGAGCGACUUUAAGCGUAGUAGAUCCAUCGCCCGCUUUGAAAGUGCGCCCCGCGGCUUGCGAUCACCCCCCGACCCUUCAAUGAU